This is a long non-coding RNA of Betta splendens (Siamese fighting fish), 1938 nucleotides long. The record is from Ensembl. NCBI's taxonomy places the organism in Eukaryota, Metazoa, Chordata, Actinopteri, Anabantiformes, Osphronemidae.
AUGGUAACCGGCGCUGACUUAAUAAAAGAAGGGCAGCCAAGCGACUUUACACAUUUGUCUCAGGACUCGGAGACAUUGGCAGCAAAAACAACAAGCUUGAAACAUUUUGGUUAUUUUGCAGCAGCAAUGGAGCGCCAUUUGCCGUGGGCCAUUUGGAAGCUCUGGAGACGUUUUAAACGUUGGAGACGCCGACGGAGACAGCGGUGGCAGCCGGUGGCGGAAGUUGCUGUGCUUGGUCGUCCACCUAGACCUCCACCUAGACGUCGGCGGCCUCGCUUUGACCCACCUACUUCCCACGUUGAGGAAGUUGUCCCCCCCACCUCUGACAUUCAGGUACCUCACUUGGACUCACCCCCUUCUUACUGUGAGGUUCCACCAAGCUGGGGGGAAACACCACUUCCUCUUUAUUGUGAGCUUUUUCCUUCUUCUUCUCCUCCACACUCUCCCCUUCCUUCUGGCUCUUUUGCUCCUUCUCUUUCUCCUCCAGGCUCUCCUGUUCCUUCUGGCUCUUUUGCUCCUUCUCUUUCUCCUCCAGGCUCUCCUGUUCCUUCUGGCUCUUUUGCACUUUCUCUUUCUCCUCCAGGCUCUCCCCUUCCUUCUGGCUCUUUUGCUCCUUCUCUUUCUCCUCCAGGCUCUCCCCUUCCUUCUGGCUCUUUUGCUCCUUCUCUUUCUCCUCCAGGCUCUCCCCUUCCUCCUUCUUCUUCUUCUUUUCCUUCCACACCCCCUCCUCCUUAUUCUCUUGUUCCUUCUUGCACUCCUGCUCCUUCGCUUUCUCCUCCAGGCUCUCCUGUUUCUUCUUCUUUUCCACCUUCACCUCCUCCUCCUUCCCCUCUGGUUCCACCUAUUGUGGCUCUUUCUGAGCUGCCCUGUGUUCCGGAUGCUGGCCUGUCCCUGUCUCCUGUUAUUCAGGACUCAGGCUCUGUAGUGCACGGGACCAGCGAGGACGGGACCAGCGAGGACGGGACCAGCGAGGACGGGACCAGCGAGGACGGGACCAGCGAGGACGUACCGGAUGGGGGGGACGAGGAGGCUCCAAGCAGCAGCACGUCACUAAGGAGAGGUAGGGAGGACAGUGAUGAGGAGGGGGCUGCUCCUAAAAGACCAUGUUGUACUGUGAGACACUGUGUCACACAGUAAACUUGGUCUUUCCCAUUGUUGAAUGGCAGCAGCCACCUCUUCAUUCACGGAUAACUGGCCUCUGUUUCUGACAGGACCAGUUUAUCCUACUGUCUUCUUUUUUCUUUCUUUCUUGAUUUCUUUCUUUUAUAAUUUUAAAUAUUCAUCCAAACCCUGAGAACUAGCCCUUGCGUCUGGCUGGGCAGUUCUUGUCCCUGGUAGCGUCUGGCGCCGGGACUUUUCUUUCUUUCUUUUCUGGAUGAAUACAAGUUUGAAUGGUAAUAUUUUCCCUGAGAACUAGCCUUUGCGUCUGGCUGGGCAGUUCUUGUCCCAGGUUGCGUCUCGCACUGGGGCCCUGCGUUUACAGUUUAGCAUGGCGGUUGGAUGGACUUUUCUUUCACCCUGGAGGCUGAGUUCAGCGCCUGGCAGGGCCGUCGACCCCGCCAUGCAAGUUGCCCUAGCGUCUGGCAGGGUAACUAUCUUGUUUAUUACUGUGUUUUCCUCCACAGCGAUAGGUCAGUUCAGUCACAGUGGCACCAGUGGCACCAGGGACACAUGUCAUCUCCCACGGAAGCUCCUCAGUGGCAGAGCAGGAUGGACUGCAGUGCCACGUGUUAUGGAGCGGACACAUGGCUGUGUGCUGUUCUAGUCAUGCUCCACACCACAGGGAGCAGUGCCACUGAUACUGAUGUACUGACCAGUGUGUCUGUCAGUCCAGUGGACAAAGGUGAGUACAAGAUUUUGAUUGUGUGACAUUCAAUUUCAAAGAUGUCAAAAGACGGAGUUGAGUAGAAAUAAAUGUUUGUAUUACAUUGAAAUUCA